This 21-nucleotide microRNA is filed under the name Homo sapiens (human). RNAcentral describes it as "hsa-miR-6736-3p". Lineage: Eukaryota; Metazoa; Chordata; Mammalia; Primates; Hominidae. The record is from miRBase by way of RNAcentral.
UCAGCUCCUCUCUACCCACAG